This 71-nucleotide transfer RNA is filed under the name Chirocentrus dorab (Dorab wolf-herring). Its description in RNAcentral is "tRNA-Gln". It matches the Rfam family "tRNA". From Rfam's summary of the family: Transfer RNA (tRNA) molecules are approximately 80 nucleotides in length. Their secondary structure includes four short double-helical elements and three loops (D, anti-codon, and T loops). Further hydrogen bonds mediate the characteristic L-shaped molecular structure. tRNAs have two regions of fundamental functional importance: the anti-codon, which is responsible for specific mRNA codon recognition, and the 3' end, to which the tRNAs corresponding amino acid is attached (by aminoacyl-tRNA synthetases). tRNAs cope with the degeneracy of the genetic code in two manners: having more than one tRNA (with a specific anti-codon) for a particular amino acid; and 'wobble' base-pairing, i.e. permitting non-standard base-pairing at the 3rd anti-codon position. Lineage: Eukaryota; Metazoa; Chordata; Actinopteri; Clupeiformes; Chirocentridae. The record is from RNAcentral.
UAGGGGGUAGUGUAGUGGAAGCACUCAGAGUUUUGAUCUCUGCGGGAUGGGUUCGAGUCCCUUUCCCCUAG